Molecule: unclassified non-coding RNA, 360 nt
Filed under: soil metagenome
Description: partial contains 5.8S ribosomal RNA, internal transcribed spacer 2, and large subunit ribosomal RNA
Rfam family: 5.8S ribosomal RNA (bases 1-120)
Source: RNAcentral
GAUGAAGAACGUAGCGAAAUGCGAUAAGUAAUGCGAAUUGCAGAAUUCAGUGAAUCAUCGAAUCUUUGAACGCACAUUGCGCCCGCCAGUAUUCUGGCGGGCAUGCCUGUCUGAGCGUCGUUUCGACCCUCGCGCCCGGCUUCUGUCGGGGGCGGUGUUGGGGAUCGGCCACACCCUUCAGUGGGAGGCCGGCCCCUAAAUUCAGUGGCGACCACGCUGUAGCCUCCCCUGCGUAGUACUAAAACCACCUCGCAGGCGGAGAGCGGUGCGGCCCGCCGUAAAACCCCCCAACUUUUACAAGGUCGACCUCAGAUCAGGUAGGAAUACCCGCUGAACUUAAGCGUAUCAAUAAGCGGAGGA